GUCACCUUCGUUGAAUGACAGCUGUCCC
RNAcentral lists this non-coding RNA (28 nucleotides) under Rattus norvegicus (Norway rat). Lineage: Eukaryota; Metazoa; Chordata; Mammalia; Rodentia; Muridae. The record is from RNAcentral.